Molecule: ribosomal RNA, 463 nt
Filed under: uncultured bacterium
Lineage: Bacteria
Description: partial 16S ribosomal RNA
Rfam family: Bacterial small subunit ribosomal RNA
Source: RNAcentral
GACGAACGCUGGCGGCACGCCUAACACAUGCAAGUCGAACGGCCUUACAAGAGCUGGCUUUUUUAAGUUAGUGGCGGACGGGUGAGUAACACGUGAGCAACCUGCCUCUGAGAGGGGGAUAGCUUCUGGAAACGGAUGGUAAUACCCCAUAAAAUAUAAAUAUCGCAUGAUAGAUAUAUCAAAGAAAUUCGCUCAGAGAUGGGCUAGCGUCUGACUAGAUAGUUGGUGAGGUAACGGCGCACCAAGUCGACGAUCAAUAGCCUGACUGAGAGAUUGAACGGCCACAUUGAGACUGAGACACGGCGCAGACUCCUACGGGAGGGAGCAAUGGGGAAUAUUGCACUAUGGAGGGAACUCUGAUGCAGCGAUGGCGCGUGGAGGAAGUAGGUGUGCGGAUUGUAAACUCCUUUUAUCAGGGACGAUAAUGACGGUACCUGAAGAAAAAGCUCCGGCUAACUACGUG